AUCCGGACGGUAGAAUUCAUAGACGGAGUCGCGCGGAACCAUGUAGCCGCGCGUCAUCCGUCUGAUAUUUCUGCCGUCGAUGUAAAAGUGCGGACGUCGCAACCCGUUCGACGUCGAUCUAGGAGCCGUGUAAACGUUCGUCGUCUUGCGGGCGGUUCGCCGCACGCGUAUGGCGAAUUACGUGGUCUUCGUUCUGGUCGACGCCGUCGGACGGUAGCUGUGCGCGGUAAUUGGCGUCGCCUCGCGCGACGUCCAACGCCUGUUAGCGACGAAUCUUCGGGCCUCUUUCCGACCCGUCUUGAAACACGGACCAAGGAGUCUAACGUGCGCGCGAGUCGCGGGGUAUCGAGUCGUGUGAAUUUAAAUCGGCGACUCGUUACGAUACGAAACCCGUGUUUAUGUAAACGCAAGGCGUAAUGAAAGUGAAAUUUGGGAAGAUGAUGUUCGAGUUCACGUUUCUCGGUCGCUUUGUAUCGAGGCCGAACAUCCGCACUCCCAGGGCGUCCUAAUCGCACGUCUCGAAUGCGGACGGUCGCUUCGCGGCGGCCGUCGGUUUUUGACGAGCCGGGGCGCACCUAUAGCGUGCACGUUGGUACCCGAAAGAUGGUGAACUAUGCCUGGCCAGGAUGAAGUCAGGGGAAACCCUGAUGGAGGUCCGCAGCGAUUCUGACGUGCAAAUCGAUCGUCUGARC
Molecule: ribosomal RNA, 692 nt
Filed under: Bambusaspis miliaris
Lineage: Eukaryota; Metazoa; Arthropoda; Insecta; Hemiptera; Asterolecaniidae
Description: eukaryotic LSU rRNA
Rfam family: Eukaryotic large subunit ribosomal RNA
Source: RNAcentral